This 497-nucleotide ribosomal RNA is filed under the name uncultured bacterium. Its description in RNAcentral is "partial 16S ribosomal RNA". It matches the Rfam family "Bacterial small subunit ribosomal RNA", at positions 28 to 506 of the family's 1533-position model. The record is from RNAcentral.
GACGAACGCUGGCGGCGUGCCUAAUACAUGCAAGUCGAACGAGAGCGACCGGUGCUUGCACUGGUCAAUCUAGUGGCGAACGGGUGAGUAACACGUGGGUAACCUGCCCAUCAGAGGGGGAUAACAUCCGGAAACGGAUGCUAAAACCGCAUAGGUCUUCGAACCGCAUGGUUUGAAGAGGAAAAGAGGCGCAAGCUUCUGCUGAUGGAUGGACCCGCGGUGCAUUAGCUAGUUGGUGAGGUAACGGCUCACCAAGGCCGUGAUGCAUAGCCGACCUGAGGGGGGGAUCGGCACAAUGGGGAAGGAGACAGGGCCCAAACCCCAACGGGGGGCAGGAGUGGGGAAUCUUCCGAAAUGGAGGAAAGGCUGAGGGGGAAACGCCGGGGGAGUGAAGAAGGUUUGCGGAUCGUAAAACUUUGUUUUUAGAGAAGAAAAAGUGCUAGGGUAACUUUUAGGGCCUUGGCGGUAUCAAACCAGAAAGCCCCGGUUAACUACGU